CCGGUUGAUCCUGCCGGAGGCCACUGCUAUGGGGGUCCGACUAAGCCAUGCGAGUCAUGGGGCGCGCUCUGCGCGCACCGGCGGACGGCUCAGUAACACGUCGGUAACCUACCCUCGGGAGGGGGAUAACCCCGGGAAACUGGGGCUAAUCCCCCAUAGGCCUGAGGUACUGGAAGGUCCUCAGGCCGAAAGGGGCAUCUGCCCGCCCGAGGAUGGGCCGGCGGCCGAUUAGGUAGUUGGUGGGGUAACGGCCCACCAAGCCGAAGAUCGGUACGGGCCAUGAGAGUGGGAGCCCGGAGAUGGACACUGAGACACGGGUCCAGGCCCUACGGGGCGCAGCAGGCGCGAAACCUCCGCAAUGCGGGCAACCGCGACGGGGGGACCCCCAGUGCCGUGGCAUCGCCACGGCUUUUCCGGAGUGUAAAAAGCUCCGGGAAUAAGGGCUGGGCAAGGCCGGUGGCAGCCGCCGCGGUAAUACCGGCGGCCCGAGUGGUGGCCGCUAUUAUUGGGCCUAAAGCGUCCGUAGCCGGGCCCGUAAGUCCCUGGCGAAAUCCCACGGCUCAACCGUGGGGCUUGCUGGGGAUACUGCGGGCCUUGGGACCGGGAGAGGCCGGGGGUACCCCUGGGGUAGGGGUGAAAUCCUAUAAUCCCAGGGGGACCGCCAGUGGCGAAGGCGCCCGGCUGGAACGGGUCCGACGGUGAGGGACG
RNAcentral lists this ribosomal RNA (708 nucleotides) under Thermococcus sp. Tc70-4C-I. Its description in RNAcentral is "bacterial SSU rRNA". It matches the Rfam family "Archaeal small subunit ribosomal RNA", at positions 4 to 706 of the family's 1478-position model. Lineage: Archaea; Methanobacteriati; Methanobacteriota; Thermococci; Thermococcales; Thermococcaceae. The record is from RNAcentral.